Non-coding RNA from Xiphophorus hellerii (green swordtail), 3345 nucleotides. NCBI's taxonomy places the organism in Eukaryota, Metazoa, Chordata, Actinopteri, Cyprinodontiformes, Poeciliidae. The record is from the annotation of a RefSeq genome assembly.
CUACUAGCCAGGCUAAGCUAAUCACAGGAAGUUACGUGAUGCUUGGAGCGGCGUUUCAAACACGUCACAUUGUUUAUUUUUAUUGUUUCCGAUGGAAAAAAUCCAAUAAACAGAAAGAAACAGGAGAGAAGAUAGAAUCGGGCACACUGGAUCAAAUAGCUCCUAUCAUUAAACAUCAGACAUUAAAUAUGGACGCAGGAAUGACCGGAACCAAAGAAACAAGUUCUUUAGGAACUUUGUUAAUAUGAGAUGAAAUUUGACAUUGUGGAUUUACUGCAGAAGGAUUCGGGAAGCAGAGGAUAUCAGACUAUAUUUGAUGCAGUCGCCAGAAUCUCUGAUCCUGAUUCACAUCUGGUGUCGCUCCAGUUCUCCUGUUUCUGAGUUUUGCAACAAGUGAGUCACAGCAAAGCCGUUAGCCGGGGGCAACGCUGAGCUGAUGCUUCCAGUAGCAGGAGCUGCGCCAAGAAGCUAACAGAAGCUAACAGAAACUAAGGGAAGCUAACAGAAGCUAACAGAAACUAAGGGAAGCUAACAGAAGCUAAAAGAAACUAAGGGAAGCUAACAGAAGCUAAGGGAAGCUAACAGAAACUAAGGGAAGCUAACAGAAACUAAGGGAAGCUAAUAGAAGCUAAGGGAAGCUAAUAGAAGCUAACAUAAACUAAGGGAAGCUAACAGAAGCUAAGGGAAGCUAACAGAAGCUAACAGAAACUAAGGGAAGCUAACAGAAACUAAGGGAAGCUAAUAGAAGCUAAGGGAAGCUAAUAGAAGCUAACAUAAACUAAGGAAAGCUAACAGAAACUAAGGGAAGCUAACAGAAACUAAUAGAAACUAAGGGAAGCUAACAGAAGCUAACAGAUACUAAGGGAAGCUAACAGAAACAAAGGGAAGCUAACAGAAACUACGGGAAGCUAACAGAAACUAAGGGAAGCUAAUAGAAGCUAACGGAAGCUAACAGAAACUAAGGGAAGAAAACAGAAGCUAACUGAAACUAAGGGAAGCUAAUAGAAGCUAACAGAAACUAAGGGAAGCUAAUGGAAGCUAACAGAAACUAAGGGAAGCUAACAGAAGCUAACAGAAACUAAGGAAAGCUAACAGAAACUAAGGGAAGCUAAUAGAAGCUAACAUAAACUAAGGGAAGCUAACAGAAACUAAGGGAAGCUAACAGAAACUAAUAGAAACUAAGGGAAGCUAACAGAAGCUAACAGAAACUAAGGGAAGCUAACAGAAACUAAGGGAAGAAAACAGAAGCUAACAGAAACUAAGGGAAGCUAACAGAAGCUAACAGAAACUAAGGGAAGCUAACAGAAACUAAGGGAAGAAAACAGAAGCUAACUGAAACUAAGGGAAGCUAAUAGAAGCUAACAGAAACUAAGGGAAGCUAAUGGAAGCUAACAGAAACUAAGGGAAGCUAACAGAAGCUAACAGAAACUAAGGGAAGCUAACAGAAACUAAGGGAAGCUAAUAGAAGCUAAUAGAAGGUAACAGAAACUAAGGGAAGCUAACAGAAACUAAGGGAAGCUAACAGAAACUAAGGGAAGCUAAUGGAAGCUAACAGAAACUAAGGGAAGCUAACAGAAGCUAAUAGAAGCUAACAGAAACUAAGGGAAGCUAACAGAAACUAAGGGAAGCUAACAGAAGCUAAUAGAAGCUAAUAGAAACUAACAGAAACUAAGGGAAGCUAACAGAAACUAAGGGAAGCUAACAGAAGCUAACAGAAGCUAACAGAAACACUGAAGAGGAGUUGCCAUGGAUACAGUUGCAACAUGUUUUAUUAUUACACGCCUCAGUUUUUAGCAUGUAGCUUAGCGUCUAGCCUGGUCUUGUUGUGCAUAAGGUGUAAAGUUUACCUCCAAGCAAACGACCCCAAAGGAAUCGCAGCGCCCCCUAUAUGUUAAUAUUUCUGCCAGCGCCCCCUGCCGCCCCGUUGAGAAACAUUACUCUAAGAUAAUAAAUCCUAGCAUUUGUAUUAAAUGCUUCCUCCCUGAUUCUGUGAUGCGUUUCAUAAAAAAAGAAAAAUGAUUAUUUGCCAAAGUUAUGGAGGAUAUUUCAGCGGCAGGCUGAUCCUCCACCAGGGGGCAGCAAACAGGAACAAAUAUCCACCAAAACGCUGAAAUUUCUACAUUUAUUUCACAUUUUCAAUAGAAAACAAUGUUGAUAUUCUUUUAUCAUGAAUAAUUAUACAUUUGAGAUAUUUUUAAACUAUUAAAGGCAUAAAAUGACAACAUUAAAGCUGAUUUUAAAGUGCAGUAAAUGUGACAGAACAGCCAGAACUGUCAGGCUGAAGUUAAACAUUCAGGAGAUGAAGAACCGGGUCGGUUUCCUGGAUCAGAACCAGGAGGAGGAGCUGAUCUGUUCCUGAACUCAGAGACUCAAACUUCCUCCUUCAGUUCAGUUCAACUCUCCAACAUUAACUCUGCUCAACAUGGACUAUUAUGGUCUGUCUCUGCUCAUCAUGUCUCUGCUAACAGGAGUCAGAUGUGAUGAACUCAGACCCAUCAAGAUCGAACUGUUCAGCUUCGAAAGCAGCUCCGUUAAUCUGUCUUACAGUUUAUCCAGAGAAGCUCGAAGCAACGACUAUUUCUACUGGUACCGUCAGAACCCAGGAGAACCUCCAGAGGUUCUGAUCUCCCACUCUGCAUCAGGAGCUGAAGGGGUUAAAAAAGUUCCUGAACUGAAGAUUGAAGUGAGGAAAACCCAGAUGGAUCUGCUGAUCUCCUCUGCUGCAGUGACAGACUCUGCUGUGUACUACUGCGCUGUGAAGCCCACAGUGACAGGAAACACCAGAACUCUGUACAAAAACCUGCAGUACUCCACAGCAGCCACUAGAGGGCCUCACUCCCUGUUAAACCACAAAAACCUGCAGUACUCCACAGCAGCCACUAGAGGGCCUCACUCCCUGUUAAUCUACUGGUUGUUGAGUCUUUGGACUGAAGACAAAGACAACAGAGACAUGAAGCAGUAAAGAUCAGAGACAGAGCUGCUGAGGAAGCAGAAAACUCUCUGAUUGGUUGAGUUGAAGUGGCCCCGCCCACUGACCUUCAGCUCAUCCAAUCCUCUCCCUUGUUACUCUCUGAGGUUUCCAGUAUUGCUCUGACGCCGCCUCCCACUGAUCCAGGAUUUGGGUUAUGAAGCUGUAAUGACUUUGUGCCAAGGCAACAGAUUGAUACCUUUCAUAAAUUUGCAAAUCACACACUAAGACUAUUUUAUUACUGUUGAAGAACUUAACAUUACAUUGGCACAAUAAUUGAGCAGCCAUAUUUCUCUAUUUUGUAUACGCUUUAAUAAAUGUGUCACUACAAAUUGAUUCAGUAGGACGGAAAAAUAAAAAAAAUCUAGCAAACGUAA